Molecule: long non-coding RNA, 1125 nt
Organism: Mesocricetus auratus (golden hamster)
Lineage: Eukaryota; Metazoa; Chordata; Mammalia; Rodentia; Cricetidae
Exons: 4
Source: RefSeq, a predicted model, not a curated record
AAUAUGAAGCCUCGAAACUCUCCCUCCUCAAGUUUGGACCAAGCAUGACGACUUCCUGACAGAGUACAAUAUCGAAAGUAAGGGGAAAGGACAACCUUCUGGAAGUGACUAUAGCAACUCGAUGACCCCACUGCAACCAGGCAAUGCAGCACUUCUUCCUGCAAGAACACACCUGGAUGCCCAGAGGCUCCAGCGCACCCAGGCCCUAGGAAGACGCAGGGAGUCUUCUGGCGCUCCCUCUGCUGCAUUUCUGAACACACUCCUGAGAGAUGGACAAGCUCUUUACUGCACUGAAGCCCAAGACCCAAGACAAUGUAGGAAGUGCCAGCGGGUACAUCACUGCCACCAUGGAACUGAUGGGGAGAAUAUAUCCUGCUCUACCAUGCUGCUGGGUUAAAGGACAAGGCAAGACAGUAUGGAGAAUGAAGUGCUACUCAGAGGUUGUUGGAGUAACACCCAUGGGAAAUAAGAGACAAAGGUGGUGGAUGAGUUUCAACUAAUGGACGCAGAAGAAUACAGAAACGUGCACCUGUGAAGCAGUCAUCUGAUGACUGCUCCUACAAGAAACAUUCUUGAGAAAAUCUUAAAGUAGGAUUGCUUUUAAUUUAUCUCCACAUCCUCUGGGGGUGAGCAGCCCCUUUAUCUUAACAUUCUUUCUGAGGUAUUUUUAACCAAUCCGUUUUAUUGAUCACUGAUUUAAAUGUUGGUUAAGAACCUAACAUUUAUAACGCAGAUGAAAAUGUGCUUUAUGGAAUCUCAUCUCUUUCCUCAUGUGUAUUAAAAUUAUGGAAUCUCAUCUCUUUCCUCAUGUGUAUUAAAAAGAAAUUCUGGAUAUGCUAAGUGGUGGUACAGGUUGGGCAGUUCACAGUUAGGAUCUAUACAUAUUGGAUGAAAGGUACACUCUACUUUUUAUUAUUGUAAAAGAAAUUUAAUUUACUCUUUUAUAAUUUCACACACACAUGCAUACAUACAUGCAUACACACACAUAUUCAUAUAUAUAUAUAUAUAUUCAUCCCUUCUCCCCAACUCCCUUUUCUUAUUGUCCUCCAAUUUUCUCUGGAAUCCUUCUUUAUUCCGAUAUGUCCACAGAUACAUUUAUAAAUGGGUUCAUGAUUAAGUUUUUGU